GGGUGAAGCUGCGCCGGAAGGCAGUGGUGGACGGUUCACGAGUGAGAAUGCAGGCAUGAGUAGCGAUACAUACGUGAGAAACGUGUGCGCCGAUUGACUAAGGGUUCCUGGGUCAAGCUGAUCUGCCCAGGGUAAGUCGGGACCUAAGGCGAGGCCGACAGGCGUAGUCGAUGGAUAACCGGUUGAUAUUCCGGUACCCGCUGUGAAGCGUCAAACAUCGA
RNAcentral lists this ribosomal RNA (221 nucleotides) under Streptomyces alfalfae. RNAcentral's name for it is "partial 23S ribosomal RNA". It matches the Rfam family "Bacterial large subunit ribosomal RNA", at positions 1248 to 1468 of the family's 2925-position model. The record is from RNAcentral. Lineage: Bacteria; Bacillati; Actinomycetota; Actinomycetes; Kitasatosporales; Streptomycetaceae.